Molecule: ribosomal RNA, 530 nt
Filed under: uncultured Actinomycetes bacterium
Lineage: Bacteria; Bacillati; Actinomycetota; Actinomycetes
Description: bacterial SSU rRNA
Rfam family: Bacterial small subunit ribosomal RNA
Source: RNAcentral
UGGGGAAUAUUGGGCAAUGGAGGAAACUCUGACCCAGCGACGCCGCGUGCGGGAUGAAGGCCUUCGGGUUGUAAACCGCUUUCAGCAGGGAAGAAGCGAAAGUGACGGUACCUGCAGAAGAAGCACCGGCUAACUAUGUGCCAGCAGCCGCGGUAAUACAUAGGGUGCAAGCGUUGUCCGGAAUUAUUGGGCGUAAAGAGCUCGUAGGUGGUUCGUCACGUCGGAUGUGAAACUCUGGGGCUUAACCCCAGACCUGCAUUCGAUACGGGCGAGCUUGAGUAUGGUAGGGGAGUCUGGAAUUCCUGGUGUAGCGGUGGAAUGCGCAGAUAUCAGGAGGAACACCAAUGGCGAAGGCAGGACUCUGGGCCAUUACUGACACUGAGGAGCGAAAGCGUGGGGAGCGAACAGGAUUAGAUACCCUGGUAGUCCACGCCGUAAACGGUGGGCACUAGUUGUGGGGACCUUCCACGGUCUCUGCGACGCAGCUAACGCAUUAAGUGCCCCGCCUGGGGAGUACGAUCGCAAGAUUA